This 495-nucleotide ribosomal RNA is filed under the name uncultured bacterium. RNAcentral describes it as "partial 16S ribosomal RNA". It matches the Rfam family "Bacterial small subunit ribosomal RNA", at positions 28 to 507 of the family's 1533-position model. The record is from RNAcentral.
GACGAACGCUGGCGGCGUGCCUAAUACAUGCAAGUAGAACGCUGAAGGAGGAGCUUGCUCUUCUGGAUGAGUUGCGAACGGGUGAGUAACGCGUAGGUAACCUGCCUGGUAGCGGGGGAUAACUAUUGGAAACGAUAGCUAAUACCGCAUAACAGUAGAUGUUGCAUGACAUUUGCUUAAAAGGUGCAAUUGCACCACUACCAGAUGGACCUGCGUUGUAUUAGCUAGUUGGUGGGGUAACGGCUCACCAAGGCGACGAUACAUAGCCGACCUGAGAGGGUGAUCGGCCACACUGGGACUGAGACACGGCCCAGACUCCUACGGGAGGCAGCAGUAGGGAAUCUUCGGCAAUGGACGGAAGUCUGACCGAGCAACGCCGCGGGAGGGAAGAAGGUUUUCGGAUCGUAAAGCUCGGUUGUAAGAGAAGAACGAGUGUGAGAGUGGAAAGUUCACACUGUGACGGUAUCUUACCAGAAAGGGACGGCUAACUACGUG